Molecule: long non-coding RNA, 225 nt
Filed under: Trifolium pratense (red clover)
Lineage: Eukaryota; Viridiplantae; Streptophyta; Magnoliopsida; Fabales; Fabaceae
Description: long non-coding RNA (TPRA_LNC001518)
Source: RNAcentral
UCCCAUUAGUAGUAAAGUGAAGUGAUUCCUCAAGUGGAUCUGUUUCCAUCCAAAAUAUAAUGUCAUUAUAGUUUAUUCCACUACAUUCCUUUUACAAUAAUUCAAUCAUAACCUUAACCUCUUUGAAGACCACAACAGAGAAAGUAUAAUUUUACUUUUCUUUACUGGAACUGAAAAGUAUCCCAAAAGCUUAUUUAGUACCUCAGCUAUUGAUUUUUUUUCACU